This 492-nucleotide ribosomal RNA is filed under the name uncultured bacterium. Its description in RNAcentral is "partial 16S ribosomal RNA". It matches the Rfam family "Bacterial small subunit ribosomal RNA", at positions 29 to 507 of the family's 1533-position model. The record is from RNAcentral.
AGUGAACGCUGGCGGUAAGCCUAACACAUGCAAGUCGAACGGCAGCACAGUAAGAGCUUGCUCUUACGGGUGGCGAGUGGCGGACGGGUGAGGAAUACAUCGGAAUCUACUUUUUCGUGGGGGAUAACGUAGGGAAACUUACGCUAAUACCGCAUACGACCUACGGGUGAAAGCAAGGGAUCUUCGGACCUUGCGCGAUUGAAUGAGCCGAUGUCGGAUUAGCUAGUUGGCGGGGUAAAGGCCCACCAAGGCGACGAUCCGUAGCUGGUCUGAGAGGAUGAUCAGCCACACUGGAACUGAGACACGGUCCAGACUCCUACGGGAGGCAGCAGUGGGGAAUAUUGGACAAUGGGCGCAAGCCUGAUCCAGCCAUACCGCGUGGGUGAAGAAGGCCUUCGGGUUGUAAAGCCCUUUUGUUGGGAAAGAAAAGCAGCAGGUUAAUACCCCGCUGUUCUGACGGUACCCAAAGAAUAAGCACCGGCUAACUUCGUG